Molecule: long non-coding RNA, 2472 nt
Organism: Cyprinus carpio (common carp)
Lineage: Eukaryota; Metazoa; Chordata; Actinopteri; Cypriniformes; Cyprinidae
Source: Ensembl
AUGAUGCUGAUCUUUGGACUGAUGCUGCUGCUGCAAACUGCUGCAUGUGUGGAGUGGAACUGCAGUUUUAAUCAAUCAUAUCCCUGUUACGCAGCCCUGGGAGACAAACUCAAUCUGCUGAUGGUCCGGGAUGCCAGUGAAUAUGACCUGAAUUUAAAAAAGAGAAUAAACAACACACAAGAUGAUCAAGUUUGUAGAGUAAAAUAUGGCAACAAGAAGGAAUGUGAUCUUUAUAAUAACAGAACUGAAGUGACAGUCAUUAAUGGGACUGUGAUAAUAAACCGUGUGAUCAGAGCAGAUUCUGGAAAUUACAGAUUAACACUCACCGAACACUCAGGUGGCACAGAAACAUCUAGAGAUCUUCAAGUGAUUGUUGAAGCUCCAGUUGCCUCAGUGGAAGUGUCAAUCAGCUGCUCCUCCAAUCAGAGGUCAGUGUCCUGCUCCUCAGAGGGGGAUCAGCUCCUCUACAGCUGGACUCUGAAUGGAGAUCCACAGAAGGAUGGAAACAGCAGCAUUGAUCUGGAUGAGGGAACUGAUGGAAACAUCAGCUGCAGCGUGAAGAACCACGUCAGUCACGUACAGAAGACCAUUAGAAUCAAAACCUGUCCUGGUCCAGAUCGUUUUUGCAGUUUUUAUCAAUCAGAUUCCUGUUACGCAGCUGUGGGAGACGAUCUUAAUCUACUGAUGGUGCGGGAUGCUCGAGAUCAAGAGCUGCAUUUGUAUAAGGAGUUAAUGGAUAGCAGAGAACUGGAAGUUUUUAGAAUAAAGAACAAAAAAGAGAAAAAACAUGAAUCCAUCAGAAACAGAUCUGAGUUCAUCUUUGAUAAUGGGACUCUGAUAAUAAACCGUGUGAUCAGAGCAGAUUCAGGGAAUUACAGAUUAGAAUUCUAUCACUCAGACGGUUUAAGACCGUUUAAAAAGCUUCUUCGUAUUAAUAUUGAAGCUCCUACUGGCUCAGUGGAAAUGUCAAUCAGCUGCUCCUCCAAUCAGAGGUCAGUGUCCUGCUCCUCUGAGGGCGAUCAGAUCAUCUACAGCUGGACUUUGAAUGGAGAAAUACUAGAACAAGGACCAAUGGAUGGAAUCACCACCAUUCAGCUAAAUGAGGAAACUGAUGGAAACAUCAGCUGCAGUGUCAAGAACCACAUCAGUCACGCACAGAAGACAAUUAAAGUCAAACCCUGUCCUGGUCCGGAUCGGUUCUGCAGUUUUAAUCAAUCAGAUCCCUGUUACACAGCUCUGGGAGACAAACUCAAUCUGCUGAUGGUGCUGAACACUAGAGAAUAUGACCUGAAGAUACGUAAGAGGAUAUACAACACUCAAGAUGAUCCAGUUUGUAGAGUAAAAUAUGGCAGGAUGAAGGAAUGUGAUCUUAAUAAUAACAGACCUGAAGUGAACAUCAUUAAUGGGACUGUGAUAAUAAACCGUGUGAUCAGAGCAGAUUCUGGGAAUUACAGAUUAACACUCACUGACUCAAAAGGCACAGAAACAUCUAGAGAUCUUCAAGUGAUUGUUGAAGCUCCUAUUGGCUCAGUGGAAGUGUCAAUCAUCUGCUCCUCCAGUGGGGUGAUGAGGGUGUUCUGCUCCUCUGAGGGGGAUCAGCUCCUCUACAACUGGACUCUGAAAGGAGAUCCACUGAUGGAUGGAAACAGCAGCAUUGAUCUGGAUGAGAGAACUGAUGGAGACAUCAGCUGCAGCGUGAAGAACCACGUCAGUCACGCACAGAAGACCAUUAGACUAGUCUGUCCUACUGGACCAACUACUGCAGCUGUGACCUCUAGUUUGACCUCUACGUCGACACAGACAUCAGAAUAUGAUACGAGUUUCUCAUCAGCUGAUAUGAAUGUCACCUACACAACUGCAUUUUCUUCCAGGAUGUGUGAGUGCUGAGCUACAACAAAUAAUGUUAAUUACAAUGAAAUCUAAUAAUAAUGAUGGCAGCGGGGGAUCUAUAGGCUCUAUUAUUUUUUUCUGUUCCUUCUUUUCAAUGAAAAACAACAAUUGUCACUUAUUGUCCUUUUCUGAAGUUGGCGACCCUAGUGGCAACUUCAGAAAAGGAAAAUAAGUGACAAUCGUAGUUGCUAAAGUUGUUCUAUUCUUGUUGCUGUUGCAGUUGGUAUGAAUCAAUUUUUCAAAGCAGUUUUGGAGUUUGUUUUAAGUGACCUUGUGUUUUUUCUUUCAUAGUUUUAAAAUUCUCUCUGAUUGCUUUGGGCUGCGUUGCUCUGAUCCUGAUUCUGCUGUUCAUCACCGUAUGUUACGUUUACAAGAAGAAGCAGCUCAAGUCAACACAAGGUCAGUGUGUUUAAAUCUCUAGUUCAUAUACUAACUGAUGAAGGUUCAAAUGUAGUAUUAUUUUGUAGCUCAUGUGUUAUAUAUUCAGCAUAGAUUUGUUUGGUCAUUGCACUCUCUUACAGACAGUUUCAAAGACAAUUACACCAAAAGCCAAAGUAGAAACAUUAUAGAUGUGAUGAAGAU